Molecule: ribosomal RNA, 565 nt
Filed under: uncultured Glomeromycotina
Lineage: Eukaryota; Fungi; Glomeromycota
Description: SSU rRNA
Rfam family: Eukaryotic small subunit ribosomal RNA
Source: RNAcentral
UUGGAGGGCAAGUCUGGUGCCAGCAGCCGCGGUAAUGCCAGCUCCAAUAGCGUAUAUUAAAGUUGCUGCAGUUAAAAAGCUCGUAGUUGAAUUUCGGGGUUAGUAGGUUGGUCAUGCCACUGGUAUGUACUGGUCUCACUGAUUCCUCCUUCCUGAUGAGCCGUAACGCCAUUAAUUUGGUGUUGCGAGGAAUCUGGACUGUUACUUUGAAAAAAUUAGAGUGUUUAAAGCAAGCUAACGCUUGAAUACAUUAGCAUAGAAUAAUGAAAUAGGACGUUCGAUCCUAUUUUGCUGGUUUCUAGGAUUGACGUAAUGAUUAAUAGGGAUAGUUGGGGGCAUUAGUAUUCAAUUGUCAGAGGUGAAAUUCUUGGAUUUAUUGAAGACUAACUACUGCGAAAGCAUUUGCCAAGGAUGUUUUCAUUAAUCAAGAACGAAAGUUAGGGGAUCGAAGACGAUCAGAUACCGUCGUAGUCUUAACCAUAAACUAUGCCGACUAGGGAUCGGAUGAUGUUAAUUUUUUAAUGACUCAUUAGGCGCCUUACGGGAAACCAAAGUGUUUGGGUUC